This is a long non-coding RNA of Anas platyrhynchos (mallard), 1314 nucleotides long. RefSeq lists it as uncharacterized. The record is from RefSeq and is a predicted model, not a curated record. NCBI's taxonomy places the organism in Eukaryota, Metazoa, Chordata, Aves, Anseriformes, Anatidae.
CAGAAAUUAUCACCAGUCCAGUGAAAAAUAAUCUGCAUCAAAUGAUAACCUUGACCUAAAGACUUACGGUUUUAAGAAUUAUGGGUAUAGGACUGUAAUCAGCCUGCCAGAGUUCCUUCGUGAGAAAGGGUAACUGACAGUGAAGAUCUGGUGGUGCUGAAAAGAUGAGAUGAACUUUUUCAAGCUGGUGAUAAUGAACUGGAGGAAUGAGAUUCUGAGAACCCCCUCUGACAGAAGGCUCGUGUCCUGGGACAAGAUAAGCUGGGGACCAGAUGAAGUUGGCUCAAGUGGGCCUCUAAAUGCAUUGCUGAAGCAGUGGAGGUGGCGGAGAGUGAUGCCACAGGAGCAGAACUGAAGAGAGAGAUUCAGCCUUACCGUGUGAGGGGACAAGGAGCUAAGGUAAAGGCUGUGCCGGUCACCCUGUGAUCUCCCUGGGAGCGCUAAGUGCGGGGGGUCAUCUUUACCGAGAGCCCAGCAGUGUGCUCAGGGGACGAGCUCCCGGCGUGCUAAUGCGGCAUUCCAAGGGGGAGCGGGAAUGGAGCGGGAAUGGGUUUGCCGAGAAACACGCGUGCUUAGGGGGGGAAGUACGUAGCAUUUACCUAAAGAAGCAGGCAGGGCGUGUCAGACGGUGCUUUUUAAACAGGAGGGCUGGGAGCUGAAACCAGAACAUUCCCUGGCAACUGGAGAAAGUUCUGAGGAAAGUGCAGUGUGAGCGGCAGGACCCCCUCCCCCUGCCUAGAGAGGAGACAAAGAACAGGCAAGGAGGGAACUGAAAUAGGAAGCAGGAACCAUGUCAGGAGACUGGGGACUAAAAGAAAGCAAAUUAAUAAGGCAAUAUGAACCGCUGGGGGGAAAGGCACGCAACUGACUGAAGCCACUAGGAAAGAUAAGCAAAUUCCAGAUUCUUUAACUGCUGCAAGUGUGCGCACAUGCAGCCUGCCUAGUAUGUGUAAAUAUAAUCCUUUUCCUCACCACAGCAAGUACAACUCUUGGUUUGUGGCACACUAACAGACUAACAGGAUGGGAGCACUGCAUUAUACAUGUAAUAGAGUGCGUGUUCAUCAACAUCGCUACCACUCGAACAACCUCAGAUUUCCCAAAAUACACGUUCAGAUCAGGGCGCAUGCAUAUGUAAUGCAGUAAUAAAAAGCUACCGGCAGUAUUCUGCCUGCGGUGUAGUCAGCUUCCAGCAGAAGCAAGAGAAACCCAGCAUACAGGCUGAGGGCAGCGCGUGGCCUUAAGUGUUAAUGCAAUAUCGCGUUUUGGAAGUUGGAAGCUUGGUGCGCUCAUUUGCACAUCAGUACCCAGAAUGCU